This 74-nucleotide transfer RNA is filed under the name Polyalthia suberosa. RNAcentral's name for it is "tRNA-His". It matches the Rfam family "tRNA". Rfam says of the family: Transfer RNA (tRNA) molecules are approximately 80 nucleotides in length. Lineage: Eukaryota; Viridiplantae; Streptophyta; Magnoliopsida; Magnoliales; Annonaceae. The record is from RNAcentral.
GGGCGGAUGUAGCCAAGUGGCUCAAGGCGGUGGAUUGUGAAUCCACCAUGCGCGGGUUCAAUUCCCGUCGUUCG